CGGAGGGUCCAAGCGUUAUCCGGAAUCAUUGGGUUUAAAGGGUCCGUAGGCGGUUUAGUAAGUCAGUGGUGAAAGCCCAUCGCUCAACGGUGGAACGGCCAUUGAUACUGCUAGACUUGAAUUAUUAGGAAGUAACUAGAAUAUGUAGUGUAGCGGUGAAAUGCUUAGAGAUUACAUGGAAUACCAAUUGCGAAGGCAGGUUACUACUAAUGGAUUGACGCUGAUGGACGAAAGCGUGGGGAGCGAACAGGAUUAGAUACCCUGGUAGUCCACGCCGUAAACGAUGGAUACUAGCUGUUCGGAGCAAUCUGAGUGGCUAAGCGAAAGUGAUAAGUAUCCCACCUGGGGAGUACGUUCGCAAGAAUG
This 366-nucleotide ribosomal RNA is filed under the name uncultured organism. RNAcentral describes it as "bacterial SSU rRNA". It matches the Rfam family "Bacterial small subunit ribosomal RNA", at positions 526 to 896 of the family's 1533-position model. The record is from RNAcentral.